ACACGACUACAUUAGAUACCCCGGUAGUCCUAGCCGUAAACGAUACUCGCUAGGUGUCGGCCACGGUGCGACCGUUGUCGGUGCCGUAGGGAAGCCGUGAAGCGAGCCACCUGGGAAGUACGGCCGCAAGGCUGAAACUUAAAGGAAUUGGCGGGGGAGCACAGCAACGGGUGGAGCUUGCGGUUUAAUUGGAUUCAACGCCGGAAAUCUUACCGGGACCGACAGCAACAUGAAGGCCAAGCUGAAGACUUUGCCGGAUUAGCUG
Molecule: ribosomal RNA, 265 nt
Filed under: uncultured archaeon
Lineage: Archaea
Description: partial 16S ribosomal RNA
Rfam family: Archaeal small subunit ribosomal RNA
Source: RNAcentral